Molecule: long non-coding RNA, 1673 nt
Filed under: Gallus gallus (chicken)
Lineage: Eukaryota; Metazoa; Chordata; Aves; Galliformes; Phasianidae
Source: RNAcentral
CCGGCGGGGUGGGGGCAGCGCGGGCGGAGACGUGCCGAGGUGUGAGCGCUGCCCUGGGUGCGGGUGGCACAGCGAGAUGCGGAUGCGAGCAGGGCUGAGCGUAUUGAGCGCUGCCAGGCGGUGCUUUGAUGUGUUCUCCUAACUGGAGGCCAGCAGCUGUGAAGACAAGCAUCACCUCGGACUGUAAUACCUGAGGAGUUCCAACAGAGCAGAGUGGGUGUCCAUCGAGCAAAAAAGGCAGUGGUGCAGCAGAGAGAAGCGGUGCAUGUCCUGCACACAGGGAUUGUUCAUUCAGAAGUUACAGAAAGGGGAAGGAACCGGGGGCAACCCAGAGAGCUCUUAUCUCAUCGUGGAUCUUCUGGUGAGACACCUCAUCUCCUUACGCAUCUGAAAGCGGAGCGGGGAAGCACAGAGCGGGAUCUCACCAAAGCAUUCCUAUUCCUAUUCCUAGCGAGGCUUUCCCCUGGGGAAACACACAGCAGAACUAUUUCCCUGCCACUGUAGCUUUUGCAAUAAGCAGCACGUGCUCAAUGCACACGAUAUGUGUGCUUAUCGGGGUCUGGGGGGCUGUGAGCUGUGCUCACUCAGCUCCAGGUUCCACUGGGAAAACACAGAUAACGGUGAGAAGCAUAAACAAAAGAACUGCUCAGUAUGUCUUACACAAACACACAAGGGAGCAAUAGGGCUCCAAGUAGAUUACGGUUUAACAAAGCUAUCGCUCAGAACAGUUGAAGGUAUCGAAACCCUUUAGAAUUUGCUGCAAUCUGAACAAUCGCUUCACCAAAAGUCAGAUUAUGUGUGUAUGCCAAUCUCACAAUCUUAUCCACUUCUCACAUGCUGAGGUGUCUUUGACUUUUACCUCCAAGGACUUAAGCUAGCUAGAGCCAACCCAGUGACUGCUUGGCUUCACUGCUGAAGCCAUCCUCACCCAAGCAGAGCAGAAGAAUGGAGGCUGCAGUGGAAUCAGUAGGAAUUUAUCCUCUACAGAACUCCUGGAGAGAGUCAGGGAGGAUUCUCAGCUCUCCUGCAACUGUAAUAGCCUUUACUUUUUCAUAUACUGAACACGUCUGGGAUGUGUGAUUUUACACAAUGAGUGCAGGGGAUAUUUAAGACAUAAGCAGGCUUACCAGAGGCCCAAUGCUGAGCUCCUUGCAUCUCAUGCUAGUUUCAGGAAUUAGUACUAAGGAACUAAACAAAGCCAAUGAGAUCUCAAAAAUAUCCACACUAACGAAUACUGCAUUUAGUACAUCAUGAUGCAGCUCCCAGGCACACUUCUUACAAUUUACAAAUCCAUCAAAAGGGUUAUGCCAAACUUUCUGCUGCAGGAAAUACAGCUUUGAUGCUUUAGCUAUUCAGGUAAUGGAAACCUAAAAACCCUUCAAAGAACCCCAAACACUCAUCAAUGCAGAAACUGAUCCCUGAUAACAGGUUUGGGUAAAAUCAGCUUUAAAAAGCAGUUUCAUAAGAAAACAUGCAGCAGGAGAAGGGCUGCUAGCACUUUCACUUCCCUCCAAGGCAGAUGGAGGCUCAGCAAUGAGUCUUUCAGGUUAUCACAUAUGGUGCUAUUCAAGUUCAGGACUUUGCACCAAGUUCAGCUGGGGGCUGGUUUGGUUUUUUAGCUGUUGAAAUCAACAGUCAUUAAGCAGAUGCUUAUAUAAAUGUUGAAUACUCAC